Molecule: ribosomal RNA, 303 nt
Filed under: uncultured bacterium
Lineage: Bacteria
Description: partial 16S ribosomal RNA
Rfam family: Bacterial small subunit ribosomal RNA
Source: RNAcentral
AGCAGUCGCCGCGGUAAUGCGUAGGUGGCAAGCGUUGUCCGGAAUUAUUGGGCGUAAAGGGCUCGCAGGCGGUUUCUUAAGUCUGAUGUGAAAGCCCCCGGCUCAACCGGAGAGGGUCAUUGGAAACUGGGAAACUUGAGUGCAGAAGAGGAGAGUGGAAUUCCACGUGUAGCGGUGAAAUGCGUAGAUAUAUGGAGGAACACCGGUGGCGAAAGCGGCUCUCUGGCUUGUAACUGACGCUGAGGCUCGAAAGCGUGGGGAGCAAACAGGAUUAGAUACCCCCGUAGUCCCUGUCUCUUAUAC